AGUCCUCUCCCAAGUCCACGCAGGGGAAGUGAUAGCAUUGCUUUCGUGUAAAUUAUGUAAUGCAAAAUUUUUUAAAUCUUCGCCGUAAUACUUUUGUAUUUUGUUUUAUUUUGAAUGAUCAGCCUUUGUGGCCCCCCUUUGUUUCCCCCAACUUGAGAUGUAUGAAGGCUUUUGGUCUCCCUGGGAGUGGGUGGAGGCAGCCAGGGCUUACCUGUACACUGACUUUAGGCCAGAUGAAUAAAAGUGCACCUUAAAA
Molecule: long non-coding RNA, 256 nt
Filed under: Homo sapiens (human)
Lineage: Eukaryota; Metazoa; Chordata; Mammalia; Primates; Hominidae
Description: HSALNT0337628
Source: RNAcentral